Molecule: ribosomal RNA, 587 nt
Filed under: uncultured Pseudomonadota bacterium
Lineage: Bacteria; Pseudomonadati; Pseudomonadota
Description: bacterial SSU rRNA
Rfam family: Bacterial small subunit ribosomal RNA
Source: RNAcentral
CCUACGGGAGGCAGCAGUGGGGAAUUUUGGACAAUGGGGGCAACCCUGAUCCAGCCAUGCCGCGUGAGUGAAGAAGGCCUUCGGGUUGUAAAGCUCUUUCGGCCGGGAAGAAAUCGUGUGGGCUAAUACCUCACAUGGAUGACGGUACCGGAAUAAGAAGCACCGGCUAACUACGUGCCAGCAGCCGCGGUAAUACGUAGGGUGCGAGCGUUAAUCGGAAUUACUGGGCGUAAAGCGUGCGCAGGCGGUUUUUUAAGAUAGGCGUGAAAUCCCCGGGCUUAACCUGGGAACUGCGCUUAUGACUGGAAGACUAGAGUACGGCAGAGGGGGGUGGAAUUCCACGUGUAGCAGUGAAAUGCGUAGAGAUCGGGAGGAACACUCGUGGCGAAGGCGGCCACCUGGACCAGUACUGACGCUGAGGCACGAAAGCGUGGGGAGCAAACAGGAUUAGAUACCCUGGUAGUCCACGCCCUAAACGAUGCGAACUGGAUGUUGGGCUCACUUCGGAGCUCAGUAUCGAAGCUAACGCGUUAAGUUCGCCGCCUGGGGAGUACGGUCGCAAGACUGAAACUCAAAGGAAUUGACGG